UGUUUGAUGUUCUAACGUGGACCCGUGAUCCGGGUUGCGGACAGUGUCUGGUGGGUAGUUUGACUGGGGCGGUCUCCUCCUAAAGAGUAACGGAGGAGCACGAAGGUUGGCUAAUCCUGGUCGGACAUCAGGAGGUUAGUGCAAUGGCAUAAGCCAGCUUGACUGCGAGCGUGACGGCGCGAGCAGGUGCGAAAGCAGGUCAUAGUGAUCCGGUGGUUCUGAAUGGAAGGGCCAUCGCUCAACGGAUAAAAGGUACUCCGGGGAUAACAGGCUGAUACCGCCCAAGAGUUCAUAUCGACGGCGGUGUUUGGCACCUCGAUGUCGGCUCAUCACAUCCUGGGGCUGAAGUAGGUCCCAAGGGUAUGGCUGUUCGCCAUUUAAAGUGGUACGCGAGCUGGGUUUAGAACGUCGUGAGACAGUUCGGUCCCUAUCUGCCGUGGGCGCUGGAGAACUGAGGGGGGCUGCUCCUAGUACGAGAGGACCGGAGUGGACGCAUCACUGGUGUUCGGGUUGUCAUGCCAAUGGCACUGCCCGGUAGCUAAAUGCGGAAGAGAUAAGUGCUGAAAGCAUCUAAGCACGAAACUUGCCCCGAGAUGAGUUCUCCCUGAGACUUAGAGUCUCCUGAAGGAACGUUGAAGACGACGACGUUGAUAGGCCGGGUGUGUAAGCGCAGCGAUGCGUUGAGCUAACCGGUACUAAUGAACCGUGAGGCUUAACCUUACAACGCCGAA
Molecule: ribosomal RNA, 731 nt
Filed under: Salmonella enterica
Lineage: Bacteria; Pseudomonadati; Pseudomonadota; Gammaproteobacteria; Enterobacterales; Enterobacteriaceae
Description: partial 23S ribosomal RNA
Rfam family: Bacterial large subunit ribosomal RNA
Source: RNAcentral